AUUGAACGCUGGCGGAAUGCUUUACACAUGCAAGUCGAACGGCAGCACGGGGGCAACCCUGGUGGCGAGUGGCGAACGGGUGAGUAAUACAUCGGAACGUGCCCGGUCGUGGGGGAUAACGUAGCGAAAGUUACGCUAAUACCGCAUACGAUCUGAGGAUGAAAGCGGGGGACCUUCGGGCCUCGCGCGAUCGGAGCGGCCGAUGUCAGAUUAGGUAGUUGGUGGGGUAAGGGCCUACCAAGCCGACGAUCUGUAGCUGGUCUGAGAGGACGACCAGCCACACUGGGACUGAGACACGGCCCAGACUCCUACGGGAGGCAGCAGUGGGGAAUUUUGGACAAUGGGCGCAAGCCUGAUCCAGCCAUUCCGCGUGCAGGACGAAGGCCUUCGGGUUGUAAACUGCUUUUGUAUGGAACGAAAAGGCUCUGGCUAAUACCUGGGGCUCAUGACGGUACCGUAAGAAUAAGCACCGGCUAACUACGUG
This 484-nucleotide ribosomal RNA is filed under the name uncultured bacterium. RNAcentral's name for it is "partial 16S ribosomal RNA". It matches the Rfam family "Bacterial small subunit ribosomal RNA", at positions 30 to 507 of the family's 1533-position model. The record is from RNAcentral.